RNAcentral lists this ribosomal RNA (492 nucleotides) under uncultured bacterium. RNAcentral's name for it is "partial 16S ribosomal RNA". It matches the Rfam family "Bacterial small subunit ribosomal RNA", at positions 29 to 507 of the family's 1533-position model. The record is from RNAcentral.
AGUGAACGCUGGCGGUAGGCCUAACACAUGCAAGUCGAACGGCAGCACAGUAAGAGCUUGCUCUUACGGGUGGCGAGUGGCGGACGGGUGAGGAAUACAUCGGAAUCUACUUUUUCGUGGGGGAUAACGUAGGGAAACUUACGCUAAUACCGCAUACGACCUACGGGUGAAAGCAGGGGAUCUUCGGACCUUGCGCGAUUGAAUGAGCCGAUGUCGGAUUAGCUCGUUGGCGGGGUAAAGGCCCACCAAGGCGACGAUCCGUAGCUGGUCUGAGAGGAUGAUCAGCCACACUGGAACAGAGACACGGUCCAGACUCCUACGGGAGGCAGCAGUGGGGAAUAUUGUGCAAUGGGCGCAAGACUGAUCCAGCCAUACCGCGUGGGUGAAGAAGGCCUUCGGGUUGUAAAGCCCUUUUGUUGGGAAAGAAAAGCAGCAGGUUAAUACCCCGCUGCUCUGACGGUGCCCAAAGAAUAAGCACCGGCUAACUUCGUG